Molecule: small nuclear RNA, 23 nt
Filed under: Arabidopsis thaliana (thale cress)
Lineage: Eukaryota; Viridiplantae; Streptophyta; Magnoliopsida; Brassicales; Brassicaceae
Description: snRNA_17829
Source: RNAcentral
AUAUGGGUUUCUCCACUCAUUGC